AUGCCAUUUUAAACUGAUCAAUUGUCUGGCCAGGCCCAGAUUGGGUCAGGAUUUUAUUGCCUAAAAAUUAGGGGCAUAACAUUUUGCCCACGUCCAAGUUAAUAAAAAUCUAAAAAAAAAAAUAUACAUGCUACUAGUCAGUCAAGAAGAGCCAGGGCUUUAAGGAAAAUUCUUUCUCAAGGCUAACAGGAUUUAGGGGCAGUCCUAACUCCUAUUAAGGGUUGGAUAAGUCCUAAACGGAAAUCUCUUUGCUCAAGUUAGGUCCUUUUUCAGUGUGGGCUGGGCAUGCUCCCAAGGCCAUUAACAGACUACUAACCAUCCACAUUUCUAAGCAUUACAACUAGUGUGGGGUUCAAAUCACUUUUAGUUCAACUGUAUCAACCAUUGACCCAUUGCUGCUUACGCCUUCACUCAUAUUAUUCUAGUCAUAGAAGACUCAAUAGAGAGCAGACACCGUAACUGCAAUGCAAUGUGACCACAAAAGAUCAGCAUCCUAACCAACACGUGUUAUACAUUUUAUGUUCAAAAAUCUUACAGAAAAGAGUCUUCCUACCACAUUGGUUUGUUUGGCAUUGUUGUUAAAGCUACCAUUGAGAAAAGCAGUUUUAUAAAUAUAAUAGCUUGAGAGGAUUAAAAAUUGAUUAAAAAGUAAAUUUGAUAUAUUUUAAUCACAUAAAAUGGUGCUUUUUUAAAAACUGCUUUAUUUUGACCUUGACACUGAAUGCCAAACAAGGCCGUAAAACAUAAAGGAACUUGAGUAUUUUUAAUACAGCCAGAAUGCUAUAACUAUAAACUUUUUACACAGAAAGCCAAGAUAGUCUCACAGACAUAGAAGCAGCCAGAAUGCAAAAGUAAAAUGUAUACUCUCUAACUAAUAUAUUUUAAUACUCUCGCAGACAUAGAAGCACACUCACAACUUUGCGUGUGUAUUGAUGUUGCAAAAUGAGGGAUACAGAUAAACACUAUUGCAUAUAUGUAGCGAUAUUGCAAACUGAUGUAGCAUCAGUCUCAUUAGCAUAUAAAGGUGUAAUAGAGAAAAUUAGUCGAGAGAUAUUUUAGGUAGUUAUGGUCAUCAGCUACAAAUUUGUGGCCACUUCUUAGAUUCCAAAUGUUGGCAGGAGACUACAGAAUAUUAGAUGAACAUAAUUACCUCCCAAUGGUCCAGCUAAACAAUCAUAUGAACAACUUUUUUUCGAUUUGAAA
RNAcentral lists this unclassified non-coding RNA (1203 nucleotides) under Hevea brasiliensis (rubber tree). Lineage: Eukaryota; Viridiplantae; Streptophyta; Magnoliopsida; Malpighiales; Euphorbiaceae. The record is from RNAcentral.